AAUCAUUCCAUCUAUUGAAAUGAUUCACUGCUUUUUUAAGUUUAUUUGGCAUACUUUAGCUGAAAGUCACCUAUCUUUAUAUAAAGAAAUAUUAUUAUUAACAUGCUAGUUAUAGUUGUGAAGUAAAAGGCUACCAACGGCUGAGAAAUGAUACCAAUUAAUAAUGCACCGACAGUCAUUCCAAUAUAUCUCACAAAAUUAAAUACACCUAGCACUUUUCCUUUUAUAUGUUCAAACCUUUUAGAAAUUAUAGUAGACAGCAAAGCUGGCACAAUACCAACACAAGUACCUAAUAUAAAUAUAAUUACUGAUAAUAUAAUUACAUUUGAUUCGUUUAACCAACCAAACAAUAACGUAAAUAUAGCAAAUCCAGUUAUAGUAACACGAAGUAUCAUUAUUUCAUUAUAUUUUUUUGACAAUCGUUUAUAAAAUAAACUUCCUAAUAUAACACUAACAGUAAUAGGUAAAAACAAAACUCCUGAUAUUCCAACGCCUAUAUCAUAGGUAUUAUUUAAUAAUGUCGGUAAAUAAACUAAUAUUGAAAAGUACGUCAAAAAUAUUAAAAAUCCCAAUGUCACUAAAGUAAUAAACACUUUAUCGAUCAAAUAUUUUUCUUCAAUUUUUUCAGUUAAUUUCACAAUCCCUUUUUCAACAUUUGGAAUAUCAAUAAAAAAGAUAAUCAGAAAUAAUACGAUAGAUAUAACAAGCAAAAAACUAAAAAUACCAAUAUAAUCCCAUCUUGCACCUAAAGUACUCCCUAAGAUUGGUGCCAAAGCUGGCGCACAUGAUAAAAAUAUUUGAUAGUUCGCCAUAGCUUGAGCUCUACCAUUAUCUGUACUUAGUUUGGCUAAUAAAGUUAAAGUCACGAGAGGAAUAAUUCCGCAACCAAUUGCUUGAAAUAACCUUGAUAUAGCAAAUAAUAUAAAGUUAUGUGUCACUGCACAAAUAAAGCUAGAUAUGAUUACUAUUCCCAAUCCCGUUAAAAGUACUUUUUUCGAAUCACGAGAAUCUAUACUUCUACCAAGUACAAUUUGCAUAACUGCAACGAUAAAUAUAAAACCGCCAACUGUCGCAUUUAUCCAAAAUAGUGGUACUUGAAAAUCGUCAUAUAGUCUCGG
RNAcentral lists this small RNA (1118 nucleotides) under Staphylococcus aureus. RNAcentral's name for it is "Transcript". The record is from RNAcentral. Lineage: Bacteria; Bacillati; Bacillota; Bacilli; Caryophanales; Staphylococcaceae.